RNAcentral lists this transfer RNA (75 nucleotides) under candidate division WWE3 bacterium RIFCSPHIGHO2_01_FULL_48_15. RNAcentral describes it as "tRNA-Met". It matches the Rfam family "tRNA". From Rfam's summary of the family: Transfer RNA (tRNA) molecules are approximately 80 nucleotides in length. Their secondary structure includes four short double-helical elements and three loops (D, anti-codon, and T loops). Lineage: Bacteria; candidate division WWE3. The record is from RNAcentral.
GGCGACGUAGCUCAGUGGCAGAGCGGGGCCCUCAUAAAGCCUAGGUCGGAGGUUCGAUCCCUCCCGUCGCCACCA